Homo sapiens (human) is the source of this 3806-nucleotide long non-coding RNA. RefSeq lists it as uncharacterized. Lineage: Eukaryota; Metazoa; Chordata; Mammalia; Primates; Hominidae. The transcript is spliced from 8 exons. The record is from RefSeq and is a predicted model, not a curated record.
AUAGAGGUGGGCCUUUGGCGAGUCACAGGCGCGGGUGUUCGGCUACGUCACUGGGGCGCUACGGUGCCUGGAGCUGGGCAGUCUUCUCGUCAGAGUGGGGACUGGUAAGAGCGACCUCACCGCCAGGUCCUGUGUGUUGCCGGCUGAAGAAGGGUAGCUGAAAAAUUCAGACCCAGCACAGUGUUUAUGUUGGUCAAAAAUAGAAAACUAUGUCUGCCGCGGCCGAGGCAGGAGGACCCUUCAGGCCAAGAGCAGCCUAGCAACAUGGCGCAACCCCAUCUCUGUAGUCCUACCUCAGCCCCCCAGCUACUUGAACCCAAAGGUUCAAGGCUCCAGUGAGCUAUGAUCCCACCACAGCAUUCCAGCCUGCGAGAUUGAGGCCCUCACAAUCCAGUGGAGGAGACGAAACUCAUCUGCCUCUGUCCCUCUGGGCACGCCUCAUGCCAGGUGCAUCUGUGGACAGGGGCCAUGCUCCUGGGCUUCCAAAGUUGGAGAAAGCUGCCAGGCUCAGGUCUGAAGGCCAGAAUUCUACAGUAAGUCCUACUGAGUCAAGGUGGGAGCAGGGUCGGUGGCUUCCGAGGCUCUGCGGGAGAAUCCGUUUCCUGGCCGUAGAGGUGGCCUGCACUCCUCAGCUUGUGCUGCCCGUCUCGAAUGACUGGAGUUUCCUGCUUCUGUCACUACACCUCCCACCCUCUCCAUCACCUGCUCUGCUCUUAUAAGGAUCCGAAGAAAUGGAAUCAUCGUAUCGCUGAUCUGCGUAAACAAAUUGAAGAAUUGUCUGAAAGAAAAUAUGACAUGAACUUAUGAAUUCAACAGGUAAAGAUUUACAACUUGAUAAAUCAACUUUGUGAGCUCGAGCUGUAAAAGCCAAAGGUCCAGUGAUGAUCCCAUACCCUUUUGUCCAGUCUCAUGUUGAAGAUUUUUAUGUAGAAGGCCUUCCCAAAGGAAUUUUUUUUUUUUUUUUGAGAUGGAGUUUUCACUCUUAUCGCCCAGGCUGGGGUGCAAUGGCGCAACCUUGCUGGUCACUGCAACCUCUGCCUCCUGGGUUCAAGAAAUUCUCUUGCCUUAGCCUCCCAAGUUGCUGGGAUUACAGGUGCCCACCACCACACCAGGCUAAUUUUUGUAUUUUUAGUGGAGAUGGGGUUUCACCAUGUUGGCCGGGCCAGUCUCGAACUCCUGACGUCAAGUGAUCUUCCCGCCUCGACUCCUGACAUCAAGUGAUCUUCCCACCUCGGCCUCCAAGAGUGCUGAGAUUACAGAUGUGAACCCAUGCCUGGCCAGGAAUUUUGUUUUUUAGGAAGGCUUUCUACUAAUGGAAUUCCUGGCCUUGAGAGGAUGUUACUUUCGAAGGAAAGGAUUUUUUUGUUAUUAAAAGAGCCACCUAAGCUGAAGAUUCCCUUGAGAACAAGUACUGUCCUGCGGUUUCAUGGCCUUUCUUCCAUUUGUGGUUCUUGUGAAGUGGAAUUUAAAUGACAUCAAGAUGGAUAAACCCUAGUUUCCCAGUGCUGGAAUAUAGAAAAUGGAUGGACAAGUAAAUCCCACUCAGCACCCAUAGUCCAGGCAUGGGGAUCUCAACACACCUGAGCCCCAGACAUCACCUUUCAUUCUGGACCUACCAUGAAAGACUUCUGAAUCCAGGAAGAGAAACUGACUGGGCAACAUGUUAUUCAGGUACAAAAAGACUUGGACUGUAACUCAAAAAUGAUCAAAUAAUAGUGCAUGCAUCAAGUGCAAUGGGAAGCUCUUCUGGAGAGGGAGAGAAGCUUCCAGUUAAGGUGACAUUGAAGCCAAGUCCUGUAAGAUAAGGAAGAAUUGUAUGAGAGUGGGGAGGGAAGGGGGAGGUGGAGGGAUGGGGAUUGGGCUGGGAUGGGAUGGAGUGAGCUGCCCAGGCAGGGAAACCAGCACUAUACAGACCUGAACAAUGAAGAUGGCACAUUUUGUUCAGGGAAUGGUGAAUUAAGUGUAGCAGAAAUGCUUUGUAGAGACAGUAAUUUACUUGUAUGGAAUUUUGCCCAAGAGACCUCAUUACAGUUUCUAAUUUUUUGAUGUUAUCAUGCAUCACUGCCCUUGUCAGAUAGUAUCAUGAUCACAGUAACAUCAAGCAUAAUAUUUCAUUGAUUCUCACAAAAACAGGUGGGUGCCACAGUUAUCCCCAUUAUAUGCACAAAAUGAUGAAGACUUGGGGUUAAUGAGUGAUUUGCCCAAGCUCACCUGAAUAUUAAGACUGAAUCAAAUGUUAGUCUGGUCUGACUUUAAUGCUUGCCUUGUUCAUGAGCACCAUGCAUUGCCUCUCCUAUGCAGUUAAGCAGUUAGACAGGUGAGAGAAGAGCCCGUGUGAUAUCGGGGGAAAUUCACCCCUGAUAUUUCAUGUAGGUUCUUUUCUGUUUUCCCUGAGUGUCGGCCGAUCUGAGAAAUAAAGGGAAAGAGUACAAAAGAGAGAAAUUUUAAAGCUGGGUGUCCAGGGGAGACAUCACAUGUCGGCAGGUUCCGUGAUGCCCCGCAAGCUGCAAAACCAACAAGUUUUUAUUAGUGAUUUUCAAAAGGGGAGGGAGUGUACGAAUAGGGUGUGGGUCACAGAGAUCACUUGCUUCACAAGGUAAUAAAAUAUCACAAGGCAAAUGGAGGCAGGGCAAGAUCACAGGACCACAGGACCGGGGCGAAAUUAAAAUUGCUAAUGAAGUUUCGGGCACGCAUUGUCAUUGGUAACAUCUUAGGAGAAAGGGUUUGAGAGCAGAAAACCCAUCUGACCAAAAUUUAUUAGGCGGGAAUUUCCUUGUCCUGAUAAGCCUGGGAGUGCCACGCAAGCCCAGGGCUUAUUUCAUCCCUUAUCUACGACUGUAAAAGACAGCCGUCCCCAAAGCGGCCAUUUCAGAGGCCUCCCCUUAGGGAUGCAUUCUCUUUCUCAGGGAUGUUCUUUGCUGAGAAAAAGAAUUCAGCAAUAUUUCUCCUAUUUGCUUUUGAAAGAAGAGAAAUAUGGCUCUGUUCUACUCGGCCCACAGGCAGCCAAAGUUUAAGGUUAUCUCCCUUGUUCCCUGAAAUUGCUGUUAUCCUGUUCUUUAUUCAAGGUGCCCAGGUUUCAUAUUGUUUAAACAACUUGUGCAGUUAACGCAAUUAUCACAGAGUCCUGCGGGGACAUUCAUCCUCAGCUUACGAAGAUGACCAGAUUAAGAAAUUAAAGUAAGACAGGCAUAGGAAAUCACAAGGGUAUUGAUUGGGGAAGUGAUAAGUGUCCAUGAAAUCUUCACAAUUUAUGUUCAGAGAUUGCAGUAAAGACAGGCCUAAGAAAUUAUAGAAGUAUUAAUUUGGGGAACUAAUAAAUGUCCAUGAAAUCUUCACAAUUUAUGUUCUUCUGCCGUGGCUUCAGCCGGUCCCUCCGUUUGGGGUCCCUGACUUCCCGCAACACGUUUUUCUCUACUCACAGGCUUCUGACCAAAUGUGUGUGCAGAGUUUCUACACCAGUUCUCCAACUCUCUGGAUACCAACCGCGUAUCCCACAAUUCCAUUCUGACACUACCUAGAGUUAGCGCAGAACCCACAGGUUAGGGGCUCAGUCCCACAAGACCACCCUCACUUCAGAUGCCAGUUGCAAGUCCUAGGUUGUCACCUGUAUUUUGACCAACCAGUUAGAAAUCAGGGUUUCCCAUGACCCUCUUCUUGAGUUUAAUUAUUUACUAGAACAACUCACGGAACUUAGAAAAACAGGUUUUUUUCUUUUCUUUUUAAGAGACAGGGCCUCGCUCUGUUGUCCAGGCUGGUGUGCAGUGGUGCAAUCAUAGCUCAUUGAAGCCUCAACCUCCAGGGCUCAA